UGCGCAGAUAUCAGGAGGAACACCGAUGGCGAAGGCAGGUCUCUGGGCUGUAACUGACGCUGAGGAGCGAAAGCAUGGGGAGCGAACAGGAUUAGAUACCCUGGUAGUCCAUGCCGUAAACGUUGGGCACUAGGUGUGGGGACCAUUCCACGGUUUCCGCGCCGCAGCUAACGCAUUAAGUGCCCCGCCUGGGGAGUACGGCCGCAAGGCUAAAACUCAAAGGAAUUGACGGGGGCCCGCACAAGCGGCGGAGCAUGCGGAUUAAUUCGAUGCAACGCGAAGAACCUUACCAAGGCUUGACAUGUUCUCGAUCGCCGUAGAGAUACGGUUUCCCCUUUGGGGCGGGUUCACAGGUGGUGCAUGGUUGUCGUCAGCUCGUGUCGUGAGAUGUUGGGUUAAGUCCCGCAACGAGCGCAACCCUCGUUCCAUGUUGCCAGCACGUCGUGGUGGGGACUCAUGGGAGACUGCCGGGGUCAACUCGGAGGAAGGUGAGGACGACGUCAAAUCAUCAUGCCCCUUAUGUCUUGGGCUUCACGCAUGCUACAAUGGCCGGUACAAUGGGUUGCGAUACUGUGAGGUGGAGCUAAUCCCAAAAAGCCGGUCUCAGUUCGGAUUGGGGUCUGCAACUCGACCCCAUGAAGUCGGAGUCGCUAGUAAUCGCAGAUCAGCAACGCUGCGGUGAAUACGUUCCCGGGCCUUGUACACACCGCCCGUCAAGUCACGAAAGUUGGUAACACCCGAAGCCGGUGGCCUAACCCUGUGGGGGAGCCG
RNAcentral lists this ribosomal RNA (771 nucleotides) under Micrococcus sp. Act70. RNAcentral describes it as "bacterial SSU rRNA". It matches the Rfam family "Bacterial small subunit ribosomal RNA", at positions 687 to 1455 of the family's 1533-position model. Lineage: Bacteria; Bacillati; Actinomycetota; Actinomycetes; Micrococcales; Micrococcaceae. The record is from RNAcentral.